Molecule: ribosomal RNA, 506 nt
Filed under: uncultured bacterium
Lineage: Bacteria
Description: partial 16S ribosomal RNA
Rfam family: Bacterial small subunit ribosomal RNA
Source: RNAcentral
AGUGAACGCUGGCGGUAGGCCUAACACAUGCAAAUCGAACGGCAGCACAGGAGAGCUUGCUCUCUGGUUGGCGAGUGGCGGACGGGUGAGGAAUACAUCGGAAUCUACUCUGUCGUGGGGGAUAACGUAGGGAAACUUACGCUAAUACCGCAUACGACCUACGGGUGAAAGCAGAGGAUCUUCGGACCUUGCGCGAUUGAAUGACCCGAUGGCGGAGUAGCUAGUUGGCGGGGUAAAGGCCCACCAAGGCUACGAUCCGUAGCUGGUCUGAGAGGAUGAUCAGCCACACUGGAACUGAGACACGGUCCAGACUCCUACGGGAGGCAGCAGUGGGGAAUAUUGGACAAUGGGCGCAAGCCUGAUCCAGCCAUACCGCGUGGGUGAAGAAGGCCUUCGGGUUGUAAAGCCCUUUUGUUGGGAAAGAAAUCCAGCUGGUUAAUACCCGGUUGGGAUGACGGUACCCAAAGAAUAAGCACCGGCUAACUUCGUGCCAGCCGCCGCGGUAA